UACAGAGGUCUCAAGCGUUGUUCGGAUUCAUUGGGCGUAAAGGGUGCAUAGGCGGCGCGGUAAGUCGGGUGUGAAAUCUUGGAGCUUAACUCCGAAACUGCAUUCGAUACUGCCGUGCUUGAGGACUGGAGAGGAGACUGGAAUUUACGGUGUAGCGGUGAAAUGCGUAGAUAUCGUAAGGAAGACCAGUGGCGAAGGCGGGUCUCUGGACAGUUCCUGACGCUGAGGCACGAAGGCCAGGGGAGCAAACGGG
RNAcentral lists this ribosomal RNA (253 nucleotides) under uncultured bacterium. RNAcentral's name for it is "partial 16S ribosomal RNA". It matches the Rfam family "Bacterial small subunit ribosomal RNA", at positions 524 to 776 of the family's 1533-position model. The record is from RNAcentral.